RNAcentral lists this ribosomal RNA (404 nucleotides) under Vibrio sp. Its description in RNAcentral is "bacterial SSU rRNA". It matches the Rfam family "Bacterial small subunit ribosomal RNA", at positions 462 to 864 of the family's 1533-position model. Lineage: Bacteria; Pseudomonadati; Pseudomonadota; Gammaproteobacteria; Vibrionales; Vibrionaceae. The record is from RNAcentral.
GCAUCAUUUGACGUUAGCGACAGAAGAAGCACCGGCUAACUCCGUGCCAGCAGCCGCGGUAAUACGGAGGGUGCGAGCGUUAAUCGGAAUUACUGGGCGUAAAGCGCAUGCAGGUGGUUUGUUAAGUCAGAUGUGAAAGCCCGGGGCUCAACCUCGGAAUAGCAUUUGAAACUGGCAGACUAGAGUACUGUAGAGGGGGGUAGAAUUUCAGGUGUAGCGGUGAAAUGCGUAGAGAUCUGAAGGAAUACCGGUGGCGAAGGCGGCCCCCUGGACAGAUACUGACACUCAGAUGCGAAAGCGUGGGGAGCAAACAGGAUUAGAUACCCUGGUAGUCCACGCCGUAAACGAUGUCUACUUGGAGGUUGUGGCCUUGAGCCGUGGCUUUCGGAGCUAACCGCGUUAAG